RNAcentral lists this ribosomal RNA (317 nucleotides) under uncultured Enterobacteriaceae bacterium. RNAcentral describes it as "bacterial SSU rRNA". It matches the Rfam family "Bacterial small subunit ribosomal RNA", at positions 355 to 658 of the family's 1533-position model. The record is from RNAcentral. Lineage: Bacteria; Pseudomonadati; Pseudomonadota; Gammaproteobacteria; Enterobacterales; Enterobacteriaceae.
UGGGAGAUAUUGCACAAUGGGCGCAAGCCUGAUGCAGCCAUGCCGCGUGUAUGAAGAAGGCCUUCGGGUUGUAAAGUACUUUCAGCGGGAGGAAGGCAGUUGUGGUUAAUAACCACAGCGAUUGACGUUACCCGCAGAAGAAGACAACCGGCUAACCGUCCGUAGCCAGCCAGCCGCGGGUAAUACGGAGGGUGCAAGCGUUAAUCGGAAUUACUGGGCGUAAAGCGCACGCAGGCGGUCUGUCAAGUCGGAUGUGAAAUCCCGGGCUCAACCUGGGAACUGCAUUCGAAACUGGCAGGCUAGAGUCUUGUAGAGGG